AACCCAUGAUGAGGGCACCUUCUCAACAGAUCUUUGUAUCUCUCCCAUGCAUCAUAAAGCGUUUUUAGAUUCAUCUGCAUAAAAGAAGAGAUAUCACUACGUAAUUU
RNAcentral lists this small nucleolar RNA (107 nucleotides) under Gossypium barbadense (sea-island cotton). RNAcentral's name for it is "Plant small nucleolar RNA R71". It matches the Rfam family "Plant small nucleolar RNA R71". Rfam says of the family: R71 is a member of the C/D box family of snoRNAs containing the C (UGAUGA) and D (CUGA) box motifs. Multiple nearly identical copies of this snoRNA have been identified in Arabidopsis, and it is thought to function as a 2'-O-ribose methylation guide for 18S ribosomal RNA. The record is from Rfam by way of RNAcentral. RNAcentral also lists the same sequence under 1 other name. Lineage: Eukaryota; Viridiplantae; Streptophyta; Magnoliopsida; Malvales; Malvaceae.